GUUGUGUCAUUGCAAAUUGACCGUGAGAAAUGCACGAUGGCAUUUGAACAUGUGAUUAAUGUCAACGUUCAUUUGCAUAUUCAGCACAGCAUUUUGGGACAAUUGGAAAAAUACAGUUUUUCUGAGGGCUUUUUAUUUUAAGUUUUAAGUUUAUUUUAAGUUAUUUAAGUUUGCCUUACGGCAUGAAGCUGAGGUACUACAGUAGACAUGAAAUUAUUAAAAUCAGUAGGGAAUUUGUAUUACAUUUCGAUCUCCCUAAAGUUUUAAUUAUAUGCAUAUGCAGUCAUGGGGAAAAAGAAAGUAAACCCUAUUUGAAUUUUAUGGCUUGACAUAUCAGGAUAUCACAAUAAACACCUGUUCCUUAGCAGGUCUUAAAAUUAGAUAAAUACCAUCUCACAUGAACAACAACACAUGACAUAUUAUACCGUGUCAUGAUUUAUUUAACAAAAAUAUAUCCAAAAUGGAGAAGCCAUGUGUGGAAAACAAAGUACUCCCUAACUGAUUCCAUAGGAAUUAAGAGGCUAAUGAGCAGGCAGGUGCUGCUAAUCAAAUGCCCUUGAUUAAUUGAUCAUCAACAAGUGUGACCACCUCUAAAAGCAGCAGUUUUAACAGUUUGUUGGUCUGGAGCUAAUACAUGCCUAAGAGGAAAUACAUCAGCAAUUAUCUUAGAGAAGCAAUUGUUGCUGCCAAUCAACCUGGAAAGGGUUAUCAGGCCAUUUGCAAACAAUUUAAAGUCUAUCUUUCUACAGUCAGAAAGGUUAUCCAAAAACAGAAAACAUUCAAGACCGUUGCCAAUCUUCCCUGGAGUGGACAUCCCAGCAAAUUCAUAUCAAGGUCAG
Molecule: non-coding RNA, 839 nt
Organism: Pelobates cultripes (western spadefoot toad)
Lineage: Eukaryota; Metazoa; Chordata; Amphibia; Anura; Pelobatidae
Source: the annotation of a GenBank genome assembly